This is a long non-coding RNA of Sinocyclocheilus anshuiensis, 1783 nucleotides long. Lineage: Eukaryota; Metazoa; Chordata; Actinopteri; Cypriniformes; Cyprinidae. The record is from Ensembl.
AAAAAUUUGGACUGACAAAAUUUGGAUCAAUUUUGGAUUGAAUUUAAUUGAAUUACAAUGCUUUUUACCUCCCAUGAUAUGACUUGUUUGCAGGUGUGCCUUGUUUUAUGGUUCCACAAAUAUGUACGAAGCAAGCUAAUGUUCCAUCGUGUAUUGAAGAUGGAAUGAGAAAUUGCUCAUCUAAAGUUUCUAGGAUGCGAGUUCCAAAUUAUUUCUCUAGACCAAUUUCCUCAGAGGUAAGGUUCAAGACAGUGGUUACUGUCUGAUUGACUAACUUCAAGACUAAAAAAAAGCCAUAAAGCAAGAAAUAAAGUUCAAGUGUCAGCAACAUAGUCAGCAGUACAGGAAGAUCAAUUAGGUCACGCGCUGGAUUGUGCCUUCACCGUUUUUACAGGAAAUAGUUGAUACAGAAAGAGGAUAUAAAAUCCACGUCUCUGAAGAAGCAUUACAGAGGAGCAGCAAUAGACGGGGGGGAAACCAUGAGGAAGUGGAUUUGAUUGUGUCUAUUCUCAACGAGACUUUCUUCAGGGUCAGCAGCAGUUUAGACACCAAGAAGGGAAAUGACUCACAUGAGUCAGGCCCAAUAUUGCAUGGGCAAAGUGUGUUGGGAGUUUGGCUUGGUGUGAAAGAAAUUCGCAACCUUUCUCAGCCUGUUCAACUCAGAUUCAUAAACACCAAUCAGAGUGAAAACGGAAUCUGUGUCUACUGGCAUCUUGAUAAAAAUGGCAAAGGUCAGUAUGAUUUUCACACCAUCAAAAAUAAACCUAUAUAUAAACAAAUGUACCAUCGUCCAGAAUGUAGUUCAUUCUCAGAUGGUGGCAUGUGUGGGGGUGUGUGUGUGUGUGUGUGUGUGUGUGUGUGUGUGUGUGUGUGUGUGUGUGACAAUUUUUCAUUUGAAAGUAUUACUGCUAUACUCUAAAGAAAUAAUAUUUCCCAUCUCGGGCCCAAAGUACCAUGAUGGAUUUAGGCCCUCAAUAUAUGCGUCAUGAAAUGCAGUUUCAGAUUUUUAUAUAGUGUUUCUCAAGGUUAGUUUAUAAAGUUCGCAAAGUUAUAAACACUUAAUAUGGCUUAAUGUAUUAAUUUGAUCUUUUAAUAGCACUAUCUUAAUACAUUUUAAGCCAUAUUAAAGUGCCUCUAUUAUGCCAUUUUUAAGGUUCCUAAUAUUGUUUUGGGAGUCUCCUACAAUAGGAUUACAUGCAUGCAAGUUCAAAAAACCCUUUCGUUUUCUCAAAAUAUGCAUUUAAUAUCACCUAAUUUUCCAGCGAUUCUCAAACGAUUCGUUCAAAGCAGUUCUAAGAUUCAGUCUCUCUAAAACCCUCCUUUCCGUGAGCCUACUCUGCUCUGAUUGGUCAGAUGGCCCAGUCUGUUGUGAUUGGUCUACCGCGUACAGCGCGUGUCAGAAACGAUACGCCCAUUGCCAUAGUUCCGUAUUUUGAACGCUUGAUAGAAAAUAUAAACAUCUGUUAUUUAUCAUAUUUGUGAUUCAGUGGAGCCAGCUGGUCCAAAUAAAGAGGGUACUGAGCCAUCUUUCAAGAGCAAGCGUUUAGUGAAUCCCGCAUAACUCCCCGAAAUUAGAGAAGCAGUCGUCAGUAAAAUGACGUGUUUGUGGGCGGGGUCAAGUUGUUCGCUGCCGGCCAACGUAGAGCAUAGGCGUGAAUUAUGCAAAUGUGUUACUCCGUGACGUGUAGCCGUCACGGAAGUGGGAUUCGAAUUACUAAUGACUCAUUUAGGCUGUAGAGAGUCGAUUCUUUAUUUUGGGAGACAAUAACUUUAUUUAUCGUGC